GACCGUAACAACACAAGCCUCGAAUCCAGAAUCGCGGCUUCUUCUGGCACGCCCAUUUUUUCCUCUACACAAGCUCCGAGGCCUCGGUUCAAAUGUCACAAAGCUUCGUAACGUCUGUUUCGCGCCAACCAUCCCUAGUGUUUGGUAGUUUAGCGUUAUUGUCUUAAACUUCACAAACCUACCGCGAAUGUCCAAGGGCGUUAACGGCACAGUUUUUCUUUUUGUUUGUUUUGCGUUAGCUCGCUGCUCUUAAUUUUUUUUUUUAGUUUCAUUUCAAUUUGAACAAUUUGGGACACUAAACUGUAGGUUGCACGUUGUUAUCUGGCUGCAAGCUAGCUAAGUUGCCAUUCUUUGCUAGUAAUCAAGCUAACUCAUACUGAGUGUUCAAUUGGCUUUUCCCAAUGCGUUUAGCUACUCUGAAUAUCGUCAGAAAUUAUGAAAAAAUAAGUGCCACGGUCAUAAAAACUUAAAGCGCAUAAUGUGCUUGUAUGCUCUAGUGUAGGCUAUCCUUGGUAAAACUGCAUCACUUAACUGUUGUGUGAUGGAGUGAAAUCUUUAAGGUGUUUGUUAACCAAUGUGUUUUGUCUCUCGGGUGCUGUAAGGAGUGAGGUGUCCGACUCCUUCCCUGAUAGGAGAAAAAACACCUAAACAAGAUCCAGUGACUGAGACUGGGAGAUGCAGUGACUGAGACCUGGUGUGUUCCAGAAAAAGGUCCUGAAACUACUGGUCGACAUCCGCCAUCGCCUGAAGGAAACCAGAAGGGAUCAUGAAAUUCGGUUCCACAGCCACUGAGGUGUAUGUACAUCAAGGUGAACGUGUCUGAGCACCUCAAGCACGCGUCGCAAAGACUUGGAGGUGGAGGAUUCACUACGCCCUGAUGAGCCAAGCCUACAGGACUUGAAUUAAGAGUUUUAAAGGGAUAGUUCACUUUGAAAUUAAUUUUUGAAAUAUUU
This is a long non-coding RNA of Pimephales promelas (fathead minnow), 953 nucleotides long. RefSeq lists it as uncharacterized. The record is from RefSeq and is a predicted model, not a curated record. Lineage: Eukaryota; Metazoa; Chordata; Actinopteri; Cypriniformes; Leuciscidae.